AUACGAAGGACCCAAGCGUUGCGCGAAAUUACUGGGCUUAAAGCGUACGUAGGCGGACACGCAGGCACUUUGUGAAAGCCCUCGGCUCAACCGAGGAAUUGCUUGGUGAACCGCGUGUCUUGAGGCAAGUAGGGGCUGUCGGAACGAUAGGUGGAGCGGUGAAAUGCGUUGAUAUCUAUCGGAACGCCGAAGGAGAAAUCAGGCAGCUGGGCUUGUUCUGACGCUGAGGUACGAAAGCGUGGGGAGCGAACGGGAUUAGAAACCCGGGUAGUCC
Molecule: ribosomal RNA, 274 nt
Filed under: uncultured bacterium
Lineage: Bacteria
Description: partial 16S ribosomal RNA
Rfam family: Bacterial small subunit ribosomal RNA
Source: RNAcentral